Non-coding RNA from Multifurca ochricompacta, 93 nucleotides. The record is from the annotation of a GenBank genome assembly. NCBI's taxonomy places the organism in Eukaryota, Fungi, Basidiomycota, Agaricomycetes, Russulales, Russulaceae.
GACACUAUGGCCGAGUGGUUAAGGCGACAGAUUCGAAUUUCGUUCGCCAUCUGUUUCCCUUUGGGAGCGCAGGUUCAAAUCCUGCUGGUGUCG